AGCUUUGCGCAGUGGCAAUAUCAUAGCCAAUGAGGUUUAUCCAAAGCGCGAUUAUUGCUAAUUCAAAUAACAACAACAAAAACACAAUGUAAUGCCUACAACAUUAUUAGAUGUUAAUAUUUAUAACAUAUAGCAAUGA
Small nuclear RNA from Nyctereutes procyonoides (raccoon dog), 139 nucleotides. RefSeq annotates it as U4 spliceosomal RNA. The transcript has a single exon. NCBI's taxonomy places the organism in Eukaryota, Metazoa, Chordata, Mammalia, Carnivora, Canidae. The record is from RefSeq and is a predicted model, not a curated record.